CGGACGAGAAGCUUGCUUCUCUGAUGUUAGCGGCGGACGGGUGAGUAACACGUGGAUAACCUACCUAUAAGACUGGGAUAACUUCGGGAAACCGGAGCUAAUACCGGAUAAUAUUUUGAACCGCAUGGUUCAAAAGUGAAAGACGGUCUUGCUGUCACUUAUAGAUGGAUCCGCGCUGCAUUAGCUAGUUGGUAAGGUAACGGCUUACCAAGGCAACGAUGCAUAGCCGACCUGAGAGGGUGAUCGGCCACACUGGAACUGAGACACGGUCCAGACUCCUACGGGAGGCAGCAGUAGGGAAUCUUCCGCAAUGGGCGAAAGCCUGACGGAGCAACGCCGCGUGAGUGAUGAAGGUCUUCGGAUCGUAAAACUCUGUUAUUAGGGAAGAACAUAUGUGUAAGUAACUGUGCACAUCUUGACGGUACCUAAUCAGAAAGCCACGGCUAACUACGUGCCAGCAGCCGCGGUAAUACGUAGGUGGCAAGCGUUAUCCGGAAUUAUUGGGCGUAAAGCGCGCGUAGG
This 522-nucleotide ribosomal RNA is filed under the name Staphylococcus aureus. RNAcentral describes it as "bacterial SSU rRNA". It matches the Rfam family "Bacterial small subunit ribosomal RNA", at positions 67 to 575 of the family's 1533-position model. The record is from RNAcentral. Lineage: Bacteria; Bacillati; Bacillota; Bacilli; Caryophanales; Staphylococcaceae.